This 455-nucleotide ribosomal RNA is filed under the name uncultured Rhodocyclaceae bacterium. Its description in RNAcentral is "bacterial SSU rRNA". It matches the Rfam family "Bacterial small subunit ribosomal RNA", at positions 927 to 1382 of the family's 1533-position model. The record is from RNAcentral. Lineage: Bacteria; Pseudomonadati; Pseudomonadota; Betaproteobacteria; Rhodocyclales; Rhodocyclaceae.
AAGCGGUGGAUGAUGUGGAUUAAUUCGAUGCAACGCGAAAACCUUACCUACCCUUGACAUGUCCGGAAUCCCGAAGAGAUUUGGGAGUGCUCGCAAGAGAACCGGAACACAGGUGCUGCAUGGCUGUCGUCAGCUCGUGUCGUGAGAUGUUGGGUUAAGUCCCGCAACGAGCGCAACCCUUGUCAUUAGUUGCCAUCAUUUGGUUGGGCACUCUAAUGAGACUGCCGGUGACAAACCGGAGGAAGGUGGGGAUGACGUCAAGUCCUCAUGGCCCUUAUGGGUAGGGCUUCACACGUCAUACAAUGGUCGGUACAGAGGGUUGCCAACCCGCGAGGGGGAGCUAAUCCCACAAAGCCGAUCGUAGUCCGGAUCGCAGUCUGCAACUCGACUGCGUGAAGUCGGAAUCGCUAGUAAUCGUGGAUCAGCAUGUCACGGUGAAUACGUUCCCGGGUCUU